AAGUCGUAACAAGGUCUCCGUAGGUGAACCUGCGGAAGGAUCAUUGACAAAUCUAAACAACUUGUUGCUUGGAGCUCGUCUCCAAGUAUACAACAUUCUAACCUGUGAAUCGGCAGUACGCAAGUGCUGUUUUAUGGCGGCUGUAAGCGGUAGCGCAAGCUCUGUUUCUGCGCCUUAAACAUUUACGUAUCCAAUUGUCUUAACAAAACAAAAACAAAAUACAACUUUUAGCAAUGGAUCUCUUGGCUUCU
RNAcentral lists this unclassified non-coding RNA (251 nucleotides) under fungal sp. RNAcentral's name for it is "partial internal transcribed spacer region". The stretch from base 1 to 46 matches the Rfam family "Eukaryotic small subunit ribosomal RNA", at positions 1786 to 1831 of the family's 1831-position model. The record is from RNAcentral. Lineage: Eukaryota; Fungi.